AGGACGAACGCUUGCGACGUGCCUAAGAAAUGCAAGUCGAACGGACAGUAGCAAUACUGUUAGUGGCGAACGGUCGCGUAACACGUGGGCAACCUGCCCCGAAGCGGGGGACAACAACCCGAAAGGGUUGCUAAUACCGCAUGUGAAUCGUGGUGGCAUCACCAAGGAUUCAAAGCCGCAAGGCACUUCGGGAUGGGCCCGCGGCCUAUCAGCUAGUUGGAGAGGUAACGGCUCACCAAGGCUUCGACGGGUAGCUGGUCUGAGAGGACGGCCAGCCGGAUUGGGACUGAGAUACGGCCCAGACUCCUACGGGGGGCAGCAAUUAGGAAUCUUGCGCAAUGGGCGAAAGCCUGACGCAGCGACGUCGCGUGAAGGAUGAAAUCUUUCGGGAUGUAAACUUCUUUUACCAGGGAAGAAUAAUGACGGUACCUGGUGAAUAAGCCCCGGCUAACUACGUGCCAGCAGCCGC
This 469-nucleotide ribosomal RNA is filed under the name uncultured bacterium. RNAcentral describes it as "SSU rRNA". It matches the Rfam family "Bacterial small subunit ribosomal RNA", at positions 26 to 518 of the family's 1533-position model. The record is from RNAcentral.